GUGAAUCAUCGAAUUUUUGAACGCAAAUUGCACUCUCUUCGGAGAGUAUGACUGUUUGAGGGUCAGUAUUAAUAAAAAUCGGUGUGUUGCUUCUUUGUGACGUUACGGUGUUUGGGUCAUCUUUAUAUUCUUUAGGUUUUAAGAGGCUUAAAAUUGACUUUUUUGCGUAUUUUAGAUGUAAAUAAAUUCUUUUUUUUAUUUGUUUGUCUUAAUGCUUAUAAUCCUAUUAGAUGUGACCAUAUCGUGUGGUUUCGUGUAUACAAAUUUUUCAUGAU
RNAcentral lists this unclassified non-coding RNA (275 nucleotides) under Glomeraceae sp. RNAcentral describes it as "partial contains 5.8S ribosomal RNA and internal transcribed spacer 2". The stretch from base 1 to 65 matches the Rfam family "5.8S ribosomal RNA", at positions 84 to 154 of the family's 154-position model. Lineage: Eukaryota; Fungi; Glomeromycota; Glomeromycetes; Glomerales; Glomeraceae. The record is from RNAcentral.